GGAGGGGUAUUUUCAUGAAAUUUGGAUAUGCCUCAGUGGAAAUAUAUGGGAGGAGUCCGUGGUCAAAUUUGGGAUCAAUUGGAGGAAGUUUGGCGCAUGAAAUGAUGAGUUAAAGGAGUGUUAGGGGUUUAAAACAAGGUUUAGGACUAAACCGCGAGAACCGGGGAUCUAUUUGUAAUUAUUUCUGAAAGGUGGAAGGGCAUAUUCGCGAAACUUUUCUGAGAGAGGUGGGAGGGCCGGUUUGUAAAUAGAAGAUACUAGGGGGUUAGAUCGAAAUGGGAGGGGAUUUAUCCCUUCUUCUUCCUUGAAUCGUGACAGGAAGUGGAGGAAGGAGAGGAAGCCGGUGGGGGGGCCGGCCGGCCGGACCUCGCCGGCGGUGAGCCGUGGGGCGGAGGAGGUGGAGGAAGUGGAGGGGGUCCCAUUUUGCCCCUUACCUUGGGAAGUUGGAGAUAGGGGAGUGCGGCCGGUGGUGGACAGGGAGAUGGCGGCGCACGGGCGGCGGUGGGAUGCGCAGGGAGGUGAGGGGCUAGAGCUCCGGGAGAGGGGGCGGGAUGUGGCGGUGGUGGCUGGGGUGUUGUCCCUUUUUAUAGGCCAGUGGGAGGGACGGGUAGCGGCCGGAGGUGAUGAUGGUGGCCGGGACUUUUC
Molecule: long non-coding RNA, 645 nt
Filed under: Setaria viridis
Lineage: Eukaryota; Viridiplantae; Streptophyta; Magnoliopsida; Poales; Poaceae
Description: long non-coding RNA (SVIR_LNC000782)
Source: RNAcentral